Gavialis gangeticus (Gharial) is the source of this 693-nucleotide long non-coding RNA. RefSeq lists it as uncharacterized. The transcript is spliced from 2 exons. NCBI's taxonomy places the organism in Eukaryota, Metazoa, Chordata, Crocodylia, Gavialidae. The record is from RefSeq and is a predicted model, not a curated record.
CUCUCCCUCUGACAGCAGCUUGCUGCGCAAAGCUGUUACAUGCAGGUUGGGUGGUCAUCACAUGUCUGACCAGCACCUGGUUCUCCUUUUUCAAUAACAGAUGUUCUGGUUUGCUUUGGCAAAGAAGCUGGAAAUACACAAAUUCUUUUAAAAAUGAAAUUACUUAUUUUGGGGGUUACAAUAUAAUAGCAAAACAUGAAAUAGCAGAGCCCACACUUCCAAGCAUCUGUAAACAGAGGUGGACGGUGCCUUUGUACUGUCCUGUCAGCUAGAACGUGUUUCCUGGCUGGAUGUAAGGACAUGGGGCUAGAACAUGUCUCCAUUAGCUGUAUGCGCUGGGAAUUCUUGGCAUGGAAGGGAAGUCAUCUCUGCUUUUGUCAGACCAAAUGGGGAGUUCUCCUUUCUCCAGAGGCCAUGAACAGGGAGAAGAUGAGAGAGAGGCAAGAGCAGGGGUACAGCUGGAAGGAGAUGCAUCAUUUGCCCUCCACACACUGGUCUUGAGACCAGGAAGAGCCUGGGUUUGCAUUUCAUUCUUUGCAGGUCCACGUAGAGAGACUGUCUUUUGUUAUAGUAUCCAGGAGAAGAAAUGGGAUCCCACUUUGAUGAAGCCAGAGACAACAAGUUCUUCCAUGGCCUUGUGAACUGGACAAAUGGAGAUGAAUCAUGGAUUGAAUAAACUAUUUGCAUUUGUGA